RNAcentral lists this ribosomal RNA (253 nucleotides) under uncultured bacterium. RNAcentral's name for it is "partial 16S ribosomal RNA". It matches the Rfam family "Bacterial small subunit ribosomal RNA", at positions 524 to 776 of the family's 1533-position model. The record is from RNAcentral.
UACGUAGGGGGCAAGCGUUGUCCGGAAUCAUUGGGCGUAAAGAGCGUGUAGGCGGCCCGAUAAGUCCGCUGUGAAAGUCCAGGGCUCAACCCUGGAAUGCCGGUGGAUACUGUCGGGCUCGAAUCCGGAAGAGGUGAGUGGAAUUCCUGGUGUAGCGGUGAAAUGCGCAGAUAUCAGGAGGAACACCAAUUGCGAAGGCAGCUCGCUGGGACGUUACUGACGCUGAGACGCGAAAGCGUGGGGAGCAAACAGG